GGCUGCCUGGCCCAAUGGUUAAGGCGCUUGCCUACGAUGCGGAAUAGCAAGAGAUUCCAGGUUCGAGUCCUGGGGUGGUCG
Molecule: transfer RNA, 81 nt
Filed under: Melampsora larici-populina 98AG31
Lineage: Eukaryota; Fungi; Basidiomycota; Pucciniomycetes; Pucciniales; Melampsoraceae
Description: tRNA-Arg for anticodon ACG
Rfam family: tRNA
About the family: Transfer RNA (tRNA) molecules are approximately 80 nucleotides in length. Their secondary structure includes four short double-helical elements and three loops (D, anti-codon, and T loops).
Source: Rfam by way of RNAcentral